This is a long non-coding RNA of Coffea eugenioides, 642 nucleotides long. RefSeq lists it as uncharacterized. The record is from RefSeq and is a predicted model, not a curated record. The transcript has 3 exons. Lineage: Eukaryota; Viridiplantae; Streptophyta; Magnoliopsida; Gentianales; Rubiaceae.
UUUUCUCUCAACUACCAUCUUGCUGAAAUUAUCCAAAAAAUCACUUUAAGCCACCAUUUUCAUCCCUAAUUUGAGCUACCCAAAAGAUUUGUGCAGAUUUAGUGGAGUUGCAAAGAGCAAAAAUCCCUAUAUCGAUGCAGCACUUGCUUGCUGGCAAGAACAUAGGAAAAUGACCAUGAAUUUUGGGGGAAAGCCAGAGUUAGAAGAUUGAAUCUUGAGGAAAACAAGACCUAAGGUUGUCACGGCAUAAUUUGAGUUCUUCCCUUGGAUACAUAUCUGGAUAGCUUCGUAGCCGUAGCACAACCAAGAAGCAAGCAAUUGAGCUUGACCACUUGAGGAGUGAAAUUGAAGAGCAUUGAAGAAGGGCAAAUGCGGCAGAGCAAUGAGCUACACAAAUUGCAGAGGAAUUCAAUACUCAAAAGGAGCUAAUUAAGAGCUUGCAAGAGCAGCAACUUGAAACUAGGGGCUGUACGAGGAGUUGAUUGCCCAAAUGAAAGACUUGCGCAAAUGAUAAACUUCAAAAAAGUCCAGCUUCAUAUUGAUCAUGAGAAGGCUAUUGGAUAUGCUGAUAGAGAUGAUUGAAAUAUGACAUUGGUGCUGCAAUCUAUGCUUUAGUUUAGAAAUCUAGUACUCUAUCUUUUG